Molecule: small nucleolar RNA, 181 nt
Organism: Crocodylus porosus (Australian saltwater crocodile)
Lineage: Eukaryota; Metazoa; Chordata; Crocodylia; Crocodylidae
Gene: SNORA23
Product: small nucleolar RNA, H/ACA box 23
Source: Ensembl
GCAGUACUGUGUGCAUAGUUCCCAUCUGUGUCUGGUGGUAUGGUGUAUUUGCGUUUUGCAUUUAGACUGUACUGCUCACAUAGAACCUGUGGCCAAAGAUUAACUUGAGAUCAUAGUACUGGUCUAGUGAAGUCUGAAAGACAAACUUACUGCUGACCAGCCUCCAAAUUCUCAAACAUCU